This 83-nucleotide non-coding RNA is filed under the name Gloeochaete wittrockiana. Lineage: Eukaryota; Glaucocystophyceae; Gloeochaetales; Gloeochaetaceae. The record is from RNAcentral.
GUCGUCACAUACCGCCAGGCAGGAGCCUCAGGAGUUGGAUUGCUCGUGAUGGCGCUCAUUUUCUUUGGAUGCUCCUACAUCUG